This 1454-nucleotide ribosomal RNA is filed under the name Candidatus Peregrinibacteria bacterium GW2011_GWA2_47_7. Its description in RNAcentral is "bacterial SSU rRNA". It matches the Rfam family "Bacterial small subunit ribosomal RNA". Lineage: Bacteria; Candidatus Peregrinibacteriota. The record is from RNAcentral.
GAAGAGUUUGAUCCUGGCUCAGGUUUAACGCUGGCGGUGUGCAUAACACAUGCAAGUCGAGUGUGCUCGCAAGAGUAACACGGCAAACGGGUGAGUAACACGUUGAUACCUCCCCUGAACUUUGGCAUAACCACGCGAAAGCGUGGAUAAUUCCAAAUAGUCCCGCAAGGGUAAAGAUUUUUCGGUUCAGGAAGGGUCUGCGGCCUAUCAGCUUGUUGGCGGGGUAACGGCCCACCAAGGCUAUGACGGGUAGCUGGUCUGAGAGGACGACCAGUCACAAGGGAACUGAGACACGGUCCCUACUCCUACGGGAGGCAGCAGUGAGGAAUCUUCCGCAAUGGGCGAAAGCCUGACGGAGCAACACCGCGUGAAGGAUGAAGGCCUUCGGGUCGUAAACUUCUUUUCUGAGGGAAGAAUUCUGACGGUACCUUAGGAAUAAGCACCGGCUAACUCUGUGCCAGCAGCCGCGGUAAUACAGAGGGUGCGAGCGUUAACCGGAAUCAUUGGGCGUAAAGCGUCUGUAGGCGGUGAGAAAAGUCGGAGGUAAAAGGCGUCGGCUCAACCGACGUUGUGUUUCCGAAACUUUCUCGCUUGAAGAGGGCAGAGGCAAGUGGAAUUCCGUGUGUAGGGGUAAAAUCCGUAGAUACACGGAGGAACACCAAAAGCGAAGGCAGCUUGCUGGGCCUUUCUUGACGCUGAGAGACGAAAGCGUGGGGAGCAAACAGGAUUAGAUACCCUGGUAGUCCACGCCGUAAACCAUGAGUACUCCGUGUUGGGAGAAUCGACCCUCCCAGUGCGUUAGCUUACGCGUUAAGUACUCCGCCUGAGUAGUACGAUCGCAAGAUUAAAACUCAAAGGAAUAGACGGGGACCCACACAAGCGGUGGAGCAUCUGGUUUAAUUCGAUAGUAAACGAGGAACCUCACCUGGGCUUGACAUCUCGGGAAUCCUGCCGAAAGGCGGGAGUGCCGUAAGGAACCCGAUGACAGGUGCUGCAUGGUUGUCGUCAGCUCGUGCCUUGAGGUGUUCGGUUAAGUCCGUGAACGAGCGCAACCCUUGUCCUGUGUUGUAUAUUUCGCAGGAGACUGCCCCGGCCAACGGGGAGGAAGGUAGGGAUCACGUCAAAUCAGCAUGGCCCUUAUGCCCAGGGCGACACAGGUGCUACAAUGGCCGGUACAGCGGGUAGCCAAGCCGUAAGGCGGAGCCAAUCCCUUAAAACCGGUCCAAGUUCGGAUUGAGGUCUGCAACUCGACCUCAUGAAGCUGGAAUCGCUAGUAAACGCGUAUCAGCCAUGGCGCGUUGAAUAUGUUCCUGGGUUUUGUACUCACCGCCCGUCACGUCAUGGAAGCUGGGAGUGCCCAAAGAUCCACUUCGUGUGGAUUAAAGGCAAAAUCAGUGACUGGGACGAAGUCGUAACAAGGUAUCCGUAGGAGAACCUGCGGAUGGAUCACCUCU